CAUAUCAAUAAGCGGAGGAAAAGAAACCAACAGGGAUUGCUCUAGUAACGGCGAGUGAAGCAGCAAUAGCUCAAAUUUGAAAUCUGGCGUCUUCGGCGUCCGAGUUGUAAUUUGUAGAGGAUGCUUCUGGGCAGCCACCGACCUAAGUUCCUUGGAACAGGACGUCAUAGAGGGUGAGAAUCCCGUAUGCGGUCGGAAAGGCACCCUACACGUAGCUCCUUCGACGAGUCGAGUUGUUUGGGAAUGCAGCUCUAAAUGGGAGGUAAAUUUCUUCUAAAGCUAAACAUUGGCCAGAGACCGAUAGCGCACAAGUAGAGUGAUCGAAAGAUGAAAAGCACUUUGGAAAGAGAGUUAAAAAGCACGUGAAAUUGUUGAAAGGGAAGGGAUUGCAACCAGACUUGCUCGCGGUGUUCCGCCGGUCUUCUGACCGGUCUACUCGCCGCGUUGCAGGCCAGCAUCGUCUGGUGCCGCUGGAUAAGACUUGAGGAAUGUAGCUCCCUCGGGAGUGUUAUAGCCUCUUGUGAUGCAGCGAGCGCCGGGCGAGGUCCGCGCUUCGGCUAGGAUGCUGGCGUAAUGGUUGUAAUCCGCCCGUCUUGACACACGGA
Molecule: ribosomal RNA, 605 nt
Filed under: Cladosporium halotolerans
Lineage: Eukaryota; Fungi; Ascomycota; Dothideomycetes; Cladosporiales; Cladosporiaceae
Description: partial large subunit ribosomal RNA
Rfam family: Eukaryotic large subunit ribosomal RNA
Source: RNAcentral